RNAcentral lists this small RNA (36 nucleotides) under Arabidopsis thaliana (thale cress). Its description in RNAcentral is "ATSL085830". The record is from RNAcentral. Lineage: Eukaryota; Viridiplantae; Streptophyta; Magnoliopsida; Brassicales; Brassicaceae.
AGUGACAAAGGAGAAGAAGUAGAAGAAGGAGAAGUA